UACCGGCAGCUCAAGUGGUAGCUGUUUUUAUUGGGCCUAAAGCGUUCUUAGCCGGUUUAAUAAGUCUUUGGUGAAAGCUUGUAGCUUAACUAUAAGAAUUGCUGGAGAUACUAUUAGACUUGAAGUCGGGAGAGGUUAGAGGUACUACCGGGGUAGGGGUGAAAUCCUAUAAUCCUGGGAGGACCACCUGUGGCGAAGGCGUCUAACUAGAACGAUCUUGACGGUGAGUAACGAAAGCCAGGGGCGCGAACCGG
Molecule: ribosomal RNA, 254 nt
Filed under: uncultured bacterium
Lineage: Bacteria
Description: partial 16S ribosomal RNA
Rfam family: Archaeal small subunit ribosomal RNA
Source: RNAcentral